RNAcentral lists this long non-coding RNA (1717 nucleotides) under Takifugu rubripes (torafugu). RNAcentral's name for it is "lncRNA (ENSTRUG00000027126.1)". The record is from RNAcentral. Lineage: Eukaryota; Metazoa; Chordata; Actinopteri; Tetraodontiformes; Tetraodontidae.
AUCACAGAUUGGUUCUUUGCAGGUUCUUUGGUUGUCUUCCAGAUCACAUGUGCUUAAGUGACUUGAUGGAAUAUGGAAGUUCCUGAAAAAUACAAAAGCAUUGAAAUCAGAAUCAGUGAUCAAACGUGUUUCUUCUUUGCGCUUUUAAUAUUUUUACUGUCAAUACAGCAUUAAAGUUAGAAAAAACUAGCAGAUAGCAAAAGCAUGACAUGUCCUUCAGAGCAGAUGUUCUGGGACUGAUGGCUACAAAUCAAACCAAUCCAAAGAGCUGCAUAGCCACCACCCAUAGUGUUGACAACAAUUAUCCAAUUUAGUAAGGAAUGAAUGGCCACAAUCUUACCCUUCCUUCUUCAAAAGACUCACAUUAGCCCAACUAUAUGCAGCAAUAACUAAAUAUGCAGCAGCACUGAAGUUCUUUAGGACAUAUUCUGAACUUUAUUACAUAGUUUACACACAAUGAUUCCACACCUCCAACAUGUUAUUCUUUCUAUAAAAGGCUGCGAAUAGUGACCUUUAUGUAUAUGACAUGUGCCAACUUCAGCCGUGCUCUCUCUGUGCAGACAAACACUGGCUAUUUUUAAGCACAGCAGGAUACCUGCUAUGCUGGCAUGCUGUUAGAGGCCAUGAGAACCACUCCAGGUCCCUCUAGACAGCCGUGGCAAACACAAAUCCUCAGUGUGGGACCCGGGAAUCCAGCGUCUGAAAGUAAAGUCAAGUGAGUUUUUGAGGUAACCCAAUUUAUUUUUCAGCAGAAAGACACAAAAAAAUCUCACCAAAGUAAGUCAAGUCCUCAGAUCCAUGUUCAACUUCACUGGUGUGUCCACAGUCCAGCUCAGAAUGGACCAAAAUAGAUGCACACGUCUGUGUGGCCAAACCAAGCAGCAACACAACUAGCUAGCACACUGGAAUAACUAAAGGGUGUCAAGUGGCAGGGAAGGACAGGGCAGCAGGAUGAAAUAAACACGGUCAUUGGUUAUUUUUGUAACCAAGCAGUCAGGGCUGAUAGGCUCCUGCUUGAACCCUCUCCCGACUGUUCGGCAUCAUUUGUGAGAUCACAGUCUCGUUACAGACAAAAGAGGGUUGUGCGGGUGCCGAACACGAAAGGCCAAUAUUUAGGUUGUGACUCAUUAUGACCGUAUCACAUGGAGGAAACUUGUCUCAGACAGUUAGACUGAAGGUCCCUGAAGUGGACAGUGGGAGGCAUGCGUCCUCUGACUGAUAUAUGUCGGGUUGUUGAUCCAGCUCUUUACACGAGUUGUGGACAUGGAUGUGUAGUCUAGUUUUAGGACAAGAACAGCUGUUGUUGUGAGAUUAAGCUGAAACGCUGAUUUGUUAACCUCUGUAACUCAGAGGAAGUUAAUGGGUGAGGUCAAAUGUGACCAAACUUUUGGCAGGAUAUGUUGGUUCCUUCAAUGAUAGUCCUCAGCUCACACACAUAUGUGUUAAAUGCUCAUGUAUGCAGCCAUGGCUUAUAAAUGAUUACACUGAAAAUCAUGUAGACCAUUAAAUCUUAUCAUGACAGCUUGACUUGUUAUUAAAAGUCUACUUUUUUUUUACCGUAAACAAAAGGUGAAUUUAACAAACACACCUAUUUUUCAUUUUUAUAUUUAUAAUUGUGCACACACACAAAUAUAUACAUAUAGAGAGAGAGAGACAGACAGACAUAUAAAAAGAGAUAUAGAUAAAGAUAUAAACAUUUUAUGACUGGUCAGUCUGC